RNAcentral lists this ribosomal RNA (395 nucleotides) under uncultured cyanobacterium. RNAcentral's name for it is "bacterial SSU rRNA". It matches the Rfam family "Bacterial small subunit ribosomal RNA", at positions 28 to 452 of the family's 1533-position model. Lineage: Bacteria; Bacillati; Cyanobacteriota. The record is from RNAcentral.
GAUGAACGCUGGCGGUCUGCUUAACACAUGCAAGUCGAACGGACCCUUCGGGGUUAGUGGCGGACGGGUGAGUAACGCGUGAGAAUCUGGCUGUGGGUCGGGGACAACCACUGGAAACGGUGGCUAAUACCGGAUGAGCCGAAAGGUAAAAGAUUUAUUGCCCACAGAUGAGCUCGCGUCUGAUUAGCUAGUUGGUAAGGUAAAAGCGUACCAAGGCGACGAUCAGUAGCUGGUCUGAGAGGAUGAGCAGCCACACUGGGACUGAGACACGGCCCAGACUCCUACGGGAGGCAGCAGUGGGGAAUCUUGGACAAUGGGCGCAAGCCUGAUCCAGCCAUGCCGCGUGAGUGAUGAAGGCCUUAGGGUCGUAAAGCUCUUUCGCCAGAGAUGAUAAU